RNAcentral lists this ribosomal RNA (497 nucleotides) under uncultured bacterium. RNAcentral's name for it is "partial 16S ribosomal RNA". It matches the Rfam family "Bacterial small subunit ribosomal RNA", at positions 28 to 507 of the family's 1533-position model. The record is from RNAcentral.
GAUGAACGCUGGCGGCGUGCCUAAUACAUACAAGUCGAGCGAACGGACGAGAAGCUUGCUUCUCUGAUGUUAGCGGCGGACGGGUGAGUAACACGUGGAUAACCUACCUAUAAGACUGGGAUAACUUCGGGAAACCGGAGCUAAUACCGGAUAAUAUUUUGAACCGCAUGGUUCAAAAGUGAAAGACGGUCUUGCUGUCACUUAUAGAUGGAUCCGCGCUGCAUUAGCUAGUUGGCAAGGUAACGGCUUACCAAGGCAACGAUGCAUAGCCGACCUGAGAGGGUGAUCGGCCACACUGGAACUGAGACACGGUCCAGACUCCUACGGGAGGCAGCAGUAGGGAAUCUUCCGCAAUGGGCGAAAGCCUGACGGAGCAACGCCGCGUGAGUGAUGAAGGUCUUCGGAUCGUAAAACUCUGUUAUUAGGGAAGAACAUAUGUGUAAGUAACUGUGCACAUCUUGACGGUACCUAAUCAGAAAGCCACGGCUAACUACGUG